CCUACGGGAGGCAGCAGUGAGGAAUAUUGGUCAAUGGGCUUACGCCUGAACCAGCCAAGUCGCGUGAGGGAAGACUGCCCUAUGGGUUGUAAACCUCUUUUGUCAGGGAGCAAUUGGCGCUACGUGUAGCGUUAUCGAGAGUACCUGAAGAAAAAGCAUCGGCUAACUCCGUGCCAGCAGCCGCGGUAAUACGGAGGGGGCAAGCGUUGUUCGGAAUGACUGGGCGUAAAGGGUGUGUAGGUGGUUUGAUAAGUUAGAUGUGUAAUACCCAGGGCUUAACUCGGGUGCUGCAUCUAAAACUGUUAGACUUGAGUACUGGAGAGGAUAGUGGAAUUCCUAGUGUAGCGGUGGAAUGCGUAGAUAUUAGGAGGAACAUCAGUGGCGAAGGCGACUAUCUGGACAGCAACUGACACUGAGGCACGAAAGCGUGGGGAGCAAACAGGAUUAGAUACCCCAGUAGUC
Molecule: ribosomal RNA, 462 nt
Filed under: uncultured bacterium
Lineage: Bacteria
Description: partial 16S ribosomal RNA
Rfam family: Bacterial small subunit ribosomal RNA
Source: RNAcentral